RNAcentral lists this ribosomal RNA (490 nucleotides) under uncultured bacterium. RNAcentral describes it as "bacterial SSU rRNA". It matches the Rfam family "Bacterial small subunit ribosomal RNA", at positions 35 to 507 of the family's 1533-position model. The record is from RNAcentral.
GACGAACGGCUGGCGGCGUGGAUUAGGCAUGCAAGUCGAACGGUAGGAUACCUUCGGGGUAUCUGAGAGUGGCGAACGGGUGAGUAACACGUAGGUGAUCUACCCUCAAGAUUGGGACAACCCAGGGAAACUUGGGCUAAUACCGGAUGAAAGCAGCAGUGAUGUUGUUUGAAAGGUGGCGUAAGCUGCCGUUUGGGGAUGAGCCUGCGCUCUAUUAGUUAGUUGGCGGGGUAAAGGCCCACCAAGGCGAUGAUAGAUAGGCGGCCUUAACGGGUGGUCGCCCACACUGGGAUUGAGAUACGGCCCAGACUCCUACGGGAGGCAGCAGUCGAGAAUAGUCUACAAUGGCCGAAAGGCUGAUAGUGCGACGCCGCGUGAACGAAGAAGCCCUUCGGGGUGUAAAGUUCUUUUAUAUGUGAGCAGUGCUUUCUAUGUGAACAGCAUGGGGAGAGAGAUAUUAGCAUAUGAAUAAGCAACGGCUAACUCCGUG